GAGGGCAUAGCUCAGUGGUAGAGUGCAUGCCUAGCACACACGAGGUCCUGGGUUCAACCCCAGUACCUCCA
This 71-nucleotide transfer RNA is filed under the name Camelus bactrianus (Bactrian camel). It matches the Rfam family "tRNA". From Rfam's summary of the family: Transfer RNA (tRNA) molecules are approximately 80 nucleotides in length. Their secondary structure includes four short double-helical elements and three loops (D, anti-codon, and T loops). Further hydrogen bonds mediate the characteristic L-shaped molecular structure. tRNAs have two regions of fundamental functional importance: the anti-codon, which is responsible for specific mRNA codon recognition, and the 3' end, to which the tRNAs corresponding amino acid is attached (by aminoacyl-tRNA synthetases). tRNAs cope with the degeneracy of the genetic code in two manners: having more than one tRNA (with a specific anti-codon) for a particular amino acid; and 'wobble' base-pairing, i.e. permitting non-standard base-pairing at the 3rd anti-codon position. The record is from Rfam by way of RNAcentral. Lineage: Eukaryota; Metazoa; Chordata; Mammalia; Artiodactyla; Camelidae. RNAcentral also lists the same sequence under 1 other name.